AUUGGGGUCGCAUAGCCGGGACAUUGCAAAAGACCUAAGCCCUUUAGACAGAGGUUCAAAUCCUCUCCCCAACU
Molecule: transfer RNA, 74 nt
Filed under: Tentoriceps cristatus (crested hairtail)
Lineage: Eukaryota; Metazoa; Chordata; Actinopteri; Scombriformes; Trichiuridae
Description: tRNA-Leu
Rfam family: tRNA
About the family: Transfer RNA (tRNA) molecules are approximately 80 nucleotides in length. Their secondary structure includes four short double-helical elements and three loops (D, anti-codon, and T loops). Further hydrogen bonds mediate the characteristic L-shaped molecular structure. tRNAs have two regions of fundamental functional importance: the anti-codon, which is responsible for specific mRNA codon recognition, and the 3' end, to which the tRNAs corresponding amino acid is attached (by aminoacyl-tRNA synthetases). tRNAs cope with the degeneracy of the genetic code in two manners: having more than one tRNA (with a specific anti-codon) for a particular amino acid; and 'wobble' base-pairing, i.e. permitting non-standard base-pairing at the 3rd anti-codon position.
Source: RNAcentral